Molecule: long non-coding RNA, 1883 nt
Organism: Microcebus murinus (gray mouse lemur)
Lineage: Eukaryota; Metazoa; Chordata; Mammalia; Primates; Cheirogaleidae
Source: RefSeq, a predicted model, not a curated record
UAGGCCUGUUGGAAACAGAGAGGGAUGAGCCAACUGACCGCCUUUCCCUCACAGCUAAAUCCUUUCCCCUUCAGGGUUAAGAGCGAGAUGGGCGGGCUGCCUUGGUUGGUUUGGCAUCUCUGUACUUCCUCUUACUGACUCUCUUGUAACCUGUGUGUCCAGACUCAACCCAGAUCAGGAUGACUUCACAGUUGCAGUUGUUAACCGCCAGGCUACAGUGCCUAGUCUGGUAGCAGUUGGAGAGUCUUGAGGAAGAGGCACACAGUGCUGAGACUUAGCCCCCUAACACACAGGGAACCGCCCUGGACAGACUUUGUCAAACUCCCACGGGCAUAUGCCCACGGCUGUCUGGGUACACUGAGGCAGGGACUACUGACUGUGCCCGCUGCCCCAUGGAGUGAUUCCAUGGGAAGCCACACAGAACCACUGCCUCCAAACAGCGGCCAGCCCGCACUCUUUCGGUUUCUUUCCUCUGAGUGGAAAGCCUCGCCGACUCGGCUGCCGGCGGGCUGCUAGAGUGUCUCAGUUCCCGCUUCAUCUCUUUCCAUUUUGCAGUUGCAGACUGCGCUCAAAGGACAAACGACCCCUUCGACGCGAAAAAGCUUCCCAAAGCUCCGCACCAUAGGAAGGAGACCGUACCCAGGAGGCCAAAAGAGCACCAAGGCCGAAAAUCACGAAGCUGCGGAGCACCACCGUGCCUAGAGAGACCCAGCCCUCCCAACCCAAGUCCCCCUCCCCGUUCAACUUCCGGGCGGAGGCGCGGCUUCCGGUUCCGGCCGUGCUCGACAAAGGUCUGCAACGGAGUGUUGGUAUCCGUUUUCUGGAGUCAGUGUCGGGGUUAGGGUUUCACCCUGGUCCUCCCUCGCCCCCUGAGGUGGCACCUGCCCAGGUACCCCUGAGUCGGCAGGUAUUCUGCUUUUACCCUUCUCAUCACCCUAGGAGUCUGAAACGUUUUUUCCCAGAGUUCCAGAAUGGAGACUGAAGGAUACCCAGAGACACAAAGAAACAGGGAAGUCCAGAAUGAUCAAAUGCGGUCACUACUAAAUGAAAUGAUGGCUGAGGAGCCAGAAGUCAUCCUAAUACCAGCUUCCCAGGUCCAGGUUCCAGGAGAGCCUUCUGGGCUCCCACCAGAGAGCCUGGAUGAAGACACUGUUGAAGACCUUGAGAACACACCACAAAGGAAUCCUCCCAACCCUGCAACUUCCAGGCAGAGGUUUAGGAAGUUCUGCUAUGAGGAUGCAGCUGGUCCCAGGGAUGUCCUCAGACAUCUUCAGGAGCUUGCUGGACAGUGGCUGAGACCUGACAUUCACACAAAGGAGCAGAUUGUGGAAAUGCUGGUGCAAGAGCAAUUCCAGGCUGUCCUGCCUGAGGAGCUCAGAGCUCAAGCGCAGAGAUGUCAGCCUGGAGUCAGAAUCACUGGCUAAGUCUUGCUGCUUGCUUCCUGCUCAGCCUACACAUGAGAAGUAAACAAGAGGUACUCUUUGAUGCAUGAUCCAGCUGCAGCCGUGGGAAAUCUGAACCUCUGUUUUCUUUGAGCUUGUCUUUGGUUGUAAUAAGAAUACAUCAAAAUCCAUGUCUAGACCUCUUUUUGGCUGAGACAGCUUUAUAUCCUGGGACUAUGAUCUCCAAAAGGAAUAUCUUAGGACAAUCAGCCCUCUGCUUCCAGCUUUUCCAAGAGCUGGUUUUUCUUCUGCUGGAUGCCUUCUUUUUUUGCACUUUGUGACAUGCUUUAAUGUAUUGUUGUUAUGUAUCCAAAGAGGUAAUCAGCUUUAAUGUUCAGAAUUUAUGGUUCUUGCUUUGGUGGCAUGAAUGGAAGUUCAUGUAACUGCACCAGUAACUCAUUUGGGAUGCCCUUGAAAUAUUAAAGUUUGGUCCUUAGUGAA